Molossus molossus (Pallas's mastiff bat) is the source of this 164-nucleotide small nuclear RNA. RefSeq annotates it as U1 spliceosomal RNA. The record is from RefSeq and is a predicted model, not a curated record. The transcript has a single exon. NCBI's taxonomy places the organism in Eukaryota, Metazoa, Chordata, Mammalia, Chiroptera, Molossidae.
AUUGAUGCCUGGCAGGGGAGAUACCAUGAUCAGGAAGAUGGUUUUCCCAGGACGAGGCUUAUCUAUUUCACUCCGGAUGGUCUGACCCCUGGGAUUUCCCCAAACGUGGGAAACUCAACUACUCAAUUUGUGAUAGUGGGGGAAUGCAUUUGUGCUCUCCUCUA